This 1230-nucleotide ribosomal RNA is filed under the name Philophylla fossata. Its description in RNAcentral is "partial 16S ribosomal RNA". The record is from RNAcentral. Lineage: Eukaryota; Metazoa; Arthropoda; Insecta; Diptera; Tephritidae.
UGCAAAUCAAUAUAAAUUGAUAAUUGAUAUUUUAAUAUUUAUUUAUUAUUAUUUAUUAUAUUUAUUUAUUUAUAAUUUAUUAAAAAUAAUUAUAUAAUUUAUUGUUUUAGUAAUUUUUAAUGAAAAAAUAAUUUUAAUAAUAGUUUAUUAAGUAUUGUGAAAGGUUAUUGAAAUAAUUGAAAAAUUUUUAUUUUAAAAGAAAAUUUAAUUUAUUGUACCUUGUGUGUCAGGGUUUAUUAAAUAAUUAAUAAAUAUUUAUUUAUCUCGAUUUUAUAAGAGUUAAUAAUUUAAAAAAGUUAAUGUGUCAAAAUUAUUUUUAAUAAAUUAUUAGAAAUGAAAUGUUAUUCGUUUAUAAAGGUAUCUAGUUUUUUUAGAAAUAAAUUUAAUUUACGAAAUUUUAAUUUUAUUUUUUUUUUAAUAAAAAUAAAAUUUAUUAUUUUGAAUAUUUUAAGGGAUAAGCUUUAAAGUAAAUUAUUAAAAAUUAUUAAGUAUUAUUAAAAAUGUAUGCAUAGAAUUAGCAAUCAUUUAUAAGUUUGUUAUAAAUUAUUUUAUUAAUUUAUUAUUUAUUUUUAUUUUAAUUUUAUAUAAAAAUUUUUAUUUUAAUAUAAAUUGUUAAUUAAUAAUGAUAAAAUUAGUAUAUAUUAUUGUUUAAAUAAUUUUAAUUGAUAAGUUUAUAUAAAGAAUUCGGCAAAUUUUAUUCUCGCCUGUUUAACAAAAACAUGUCUUUUUGUAUUAUAUAAAAAGUCUAACCUGCCCACUGAAAUUUUUUAAAUGGCCGCAGUAUACUAACUGUGCAAAGGUAGCAUAAUCAUUAGUCUUUUAAUUGAAGGCUGGAAUGAAUGGUUGGACGAAGUAUAAUCUGUUUCAUUUAAAUUUAUUAUAGAAUUUUAUAUUUUAGUUAAAAAGCUAAAAUAUAUUUAAAAGACGAGAAGACCCUAUAAAUCUUUAUAUUUUUUUAGUAAUUAAAUUUUAUUGAUUUAUUUUAUUUUUAUAUUAAAAAAUAUUUUGUUGGGGUGAUAUUAAAAUUUAAUAAACUUUUAAUUUUGUUAAAUCAUUAAUUUAUGAUUUUUUGAUCCGUUAAUAACGAUUAUAAGAUUAAGUUACUUUAGGGAUAACAGCGUAAUUUUUUUGGAGAGUUCUUAUCGAUAAAAAAGUUUGCGACCUCGAUGUUGGAUUAAGAUUUAUUUUUAGGUGUAGCCGCUUAAAUAUAAAGUCUGUUCGACUUUUAAA